CGGAGGGGCUAGCGUUGUUCGGAAUUACUGGGCGUAAAGAGCGCGUAGGCGGUUUAGUAAGUUGGAAGUGAAGCCCGGGCUUAACCUCGGAAUUGCUUUCAAACUGCUAGGCUAGAGUGUAGUAGGGGAUGAUGGAAUUCCUAGUGUAGAGGUGAAAUUCUUAGAUAUUAGGAGGAACACCGGUGGCGAAGGCGGUCAUCUGGGCUACAACUGACGCUGAGGCGCGAAAGCGUGGGGAGCAAACAGGAUU
RNAcentral lists this ribosomal RNA (250 nucleotides) under uncultured bacterium. RNAcentral's name for it is "partial 16S ribosomal RNA". It matches the Rfam family "Bacterial small subunit ribosomal RNA", at positions 527 to 779 of the family's 1533-position model. The record is from RNAcentral.